CGUAGGCGGAAAUUUCAAAAUACGGUAAAAGACUGAGGUUGACCCUCUUUAAUCCGUAUUUACUGGUUUUCUUGAGUUCUAAUGGGAGGUUUGAAUUCCUUAAGUAGGAGUAAAAUUGUUGAUAUUGGAAGACAUUCGAAGGCGGAAGCGAUAAUCGAGUUAGAUCUGACGCUAAGGUACUAAAGCAUGGGUAUGAAAAGGAUUAGAGACCUUGUAGUCCAUGCCUUAAACAAUGAGUGUUCAACGUCCUUGAACAAACUGUUAAAAAAUUAUCUGUAGGGAUAAUUACAAUAAAUCGGUGGGAGUUUGAGGGGGUUUACAGCUAACGCGUGAAACACCGCCUGGGGAAUGUGGCCGCAAGGUUAAACUCAAAGGAAUUGACG
Molecule: ribosomal RNA, 383 nt
Filed under: Lamproderma aeneum
Lineage: Eukaryota; Evosea; Eumycetozoa; Stemonitida; Stemonitidae
Description: partial small subunit ribosomal RNA
Rfam family: Bacterial small subunit ribosomal RNA
Source: RNAcentral